Molecule: unclassified non-coding RNA, 288 nt
Filed under: Basidiomycota sp.
Lineage: Eukaryota; Fungi; Basidiomycota
Description: partial contains small subunit ribosomal RNA, internal transcribed spacer 1, and 5.8S ribosomal RNA
Rfam family: Eukaryotic small subunit ribosomal RNA (bases 1-47)
Source: RNAcentral
AAAGUCGUAACAAGGUUUCCGUAGGUGAACCUGCGGAAGGAUCAUUAUAAGUGGGAGGUGUUGGGUGUUGGGUUGGGUGGAGUGUUGGUUGGUUGGGUGGAGGGUUGAGUGUGCGAGUAAGCAAUUGCUGGCAUCCAACACCAUACACCUCACUCAACCACACACAAACCCCCAACACCCGCAUCCAAAUGCGCCGGAUCCCGAGAGGGAGAAGGACACAUGAGCGUGAAGAGUGACUUAGGCGUUUAGCAAUAAAUACAACUUUCAACAACGGAUCUCUGGGCUCCU